GAUGAAGAACGCAGUGAAAUGCGAUACGUAAUGUGAAUUGCAAAUUCAGUGAAUCAUCGAGUCUUUGAACGCACAUUGCGCCCCCUGGUAUUCCGGGGGGCAUGCCUGUCCGAGCGUCAUUGCUGCCCUCAAGCACGGCUUGUGUGUUGGGCCCCGUCCUCCGAUCCCGGGGGACGGGCCCGAAAGGCAGCGGCGGCACCGCGUCCGGUCCUCGAGCGUAUGGGGCUUUGUCACCCGGUCUGUAGGCCCGGCCGGCGCUUGCCGAUCAACCCAAAUUUUUAUCCAGGUUGACCUCGGAUCAGGUAGGGAUACCCGCUGAACUUAAGCAUAUCAAUAAGCGGAGGA
This 345-nucleotide unclassified non-coding RNA is filed under the name soil metagenome. Its description in RNAcentral is "partial contains 5.8S ribosomal RNA, internal transcribed spacer 2, and large subunit ribosomal RNA". The stretch from base 1 to 119 matches the Rfam family "5.8S ribosomal RNA", at positions 35 to 154 of the family's 154-position model. The record is from RNAcentral.